CAUACAUUUAACACAUGCACGCGUGAGCAUGAGUGCACGCACGCACGCACGCACGCACGCACACAUCUACACACAAAUAUCCACAUAAAAAUACACAAAAACACACUCACAUUCAAGAUUGCCAACAUUCCAGGAGACAAGGUGCUCACUGGGCCAGCUUGGGGCAGCGGAAUUCCCAUUACCAAGACUAGCCCACUGAGUGUAAGAAGCAACUCUAGAUCCAGGCCUUGGUUCCUUAACUAUCUCUCAGCAGAAGCCUGGGUCAGGGAGAAGGAUCCAUUGGACUCAGAUCUUGGGAGAAGAUGUGACUAGGUGCAAUGCCACUUAGGCUGACUCAUUUCCUAGCUUUAAUCUUCAGUAUCUACUCAGCUAGCUGCAUGGCUGCCGCUCUCCAUGAGCGUUUGCAGCCACCGCUGAAAACCAGGCAACUGAAAACAAAAACCAACAAUUGAGCUGUUUCCCAGGAGAACCUUCUGAAAUCAAGUGCUUCCUUCAACCGUAACGACCAUUUUUAAUGGGUGAAAGCACAUCACAGGUCCCCUUCAGCAGUUUUCCAGAUUUGUUUAAAGCUCACUUCCUACCACCCACACAGUCUUCUUGUUUUAUCUGCUUCCUCCACAUCGGCAUGCAGGGACGUUCAGACUCAUCUCACUGGUGGCCUCCGUGGUGACUGCUUUGCAGACUCAUCACUUUGGACUUCCAAUUUGGCUUCCGCUUCAGCGUUUGUCCAUGACCCUGAGGGAAGUUAAUUUCCUCUUUCUGGACCUUGGUGGACAUAGUAAUAAAAUGAAAUAAUUAUCCUGUCUUCAGAAAAUGACAGUUUCUGAAUACUUCUUAAAUCUGAUCCUGGAAUUGCACACACACACACACACACACACACACACACACACACACACACACACACACACACCAUCCAUUGUGGUCUGCUUGUAAGAAGGUCACCUUCAAACACAGGUCAGGGGUUGGGAGUCCUGAAACAAAUGAAAACACAGGACCUGUUGUUCAUGGGUUUUUAAGAAUUGGAGCUAGUGAGAUGGCACAUAGAGUGGGGAUGGGGUAAGGGCUCUUGCUGCUGAGCCCAAGGACCUGUGUUCAAUCUCCCUGAGCCCACAUGGUGGAAUAAAAGAGCCAACUGCCUCAGGUUGUGCCCUGUGAUCUCCAUGCACGGGCAGGGGAUUGUGCAGGGCUCCCCCUACAUACCCACACAUACAUUUUAAAGAACCAGAUAGAUGAAUGUAAGAAAGAAUAAAAAUUUCCAAGAAAUUGAAGAUGGGUGAAUGUAAUCAAAAUACUUUGUAUGAAUAUAUGACAUUUUCAAAGAUUAAUAAAAAUGCUUGUUUAAAAAAACUGAAUAUGAUGACAAUAGAGUAUAA
Molecule: long non-coding RNA, 1373 nt
Filed under: Cricetulus griseus (Chinese hamster)
Lineage: Eukaryota; Metazoa; Chordata; Mammalia; Rodentia; Cricetidae
Description: lncRNA (ENSCGRG00015041404.1)
Source: RNAcentral